GCUCAUUCUCACUUCCCAUACAUCCUGACAUCCUGUCUAUCAGAUUAGGGUUUUGAGAGUCAUUUCGAAACUUUUCAAAAUCGCCGCUUCCCUGCUCCUCUCUAUCUCUCUCUCUCUCUCUAGCGAUUCAGGAACACAUUUCACCAGAUCUAUGAAGUUUCAACAGAUCGAUGAACAUUCUGACCUCUUGGUUCUGAUUUCCGGCUUUUAUUGGCGGAUCAGGUGUUGGAGGUAGCCAGCCGGUUGAUCUUUAGAAAACCUGCACCUGAGAAUUUUAAAUCUGCGGCCCUCAAACACUAAAGGUAAGAUUUGUUGUUGAUUGUGGUCUAAAAGUUUGACCGUAUUAGGGUUUGUGGUUUAUUUUGGUUGUGUAUCACUUCAACUGAUGUUCAGGGUGUCAUUGUGUGGUAUAGCGUACGAUAAUGGGUUUACUUGUGAGGAUUUUGAUUCUGUUCAUCUUUAUUACCAGGGUUGUGAAUGAGAUCAAUAGCUCAGCAACAAGGAAGAGCAAAGAAUGGAAAGAUAAGCUGCCAAAUGUUGUUUUAAAAGCUGAAGAAAUCAUGUAUUCUAAAGCAAAUUCUGAGGCAGAGUAUAUGGAUCUUGAAAUCCUAUGGGAUAGAGCUAAUGAUGCCAUUAACACCAUAAUUAGGUUGGAUGAAAGUACAGAUGGUGUUUUCUUGCAGGUACCUUUAUUGUUCAUUUUUUUCUUGGAUGAAAGUACAGAAACUGGUGUUUUCUUAGUUGUUUGUAGAACAUCUACUUGCUCUUGAUGGGCUAAGGAAAGACUGUCCUUGUUUGAAGCUAACUUGAUUGCAGAAGGAUCUUUUGAUUCUACAAUACAAUAGCAGCUUUCUUGGAUUCACCUAAUUAUAGUUGUCAAUUUUGGAGCAUCACAAAGUCACUACGAUUUCAAAUUGGGGCUGCAGUUCAUCAAACCCAGAGAGGCUAGGUUUCAUAGCAAUAAUGAGGGUAAAUCGAAUGGUUGGCUGCAGGAGCAGACCUCCAUUGUUUCAAAAACAUAAUAGAGCCCAAAUGGCAGGUCACGCUCUUUGUGCUGGUGGAAUGUGGACUAAGACUUUUUUCAAGUCAAAAUCAGACAAAUAUUGGGUUUACAUGACACUUCAAACGUCUUUAGAUGCUAACUUGGAAAACCUUAUGGCCUCGACUAAUCAGACUCAGAUGAGUUUUGCAUCUAGAGAGCAUUCACAAAGUAAGCUAUCUGCUGCUACACAUGUAAUCUUAAGUGUUUCUGAUGUAUGUGAUGGCUCCUCCAGCUCAGGUUAAGCACCGAUUAAAGUUUAAAAACAUAUGGAGAUGCAAGAUAAAAAAUAGAGGCAUUUUAUCAUGCAGCUGCGACAGAAGAAGGGUUUGUAUCGAUUGUUUCUUGACAAUGGUGGUGAAAUCGCAUGUAGCUGCUAUUGAAUAUUGAUGUCUGUUUGGUGUGAUUUCAAACGGAAGACUUUACGUUGCAAAUGCUGGUGAUUCACGUGUUGUUUUGGGGCUAGCCGUUAAGGCUACUGGGGAGGUUAUUGCAAUCCAAUUUUUGACUAAACAUAGUGCAUACAUAGAGUCUGUUAGAGAAGAACUUCGUAGUUUGCACCUCUAUGACCAUCAUAUUGUAGUUUUGAAAGACAAUGUGUGGCAUGUGAAGUGCCUCAAUUAGGGACAUGUGGUUUGGAUGAUGACCUCUACCCGCAUCAAUAACCGAAACGGUUAAUGGCGAUUUGGUGGCGGACAUCAGAGUUUGGUGAUGGUAGUCAUGACUCCGGCGGUUAUUGGGGCUUAAGGUUAGCAUGUUCAUUUUGCAACUGUUUUCAGAUUAUUUAUAACUUAAAUUUUGAUCCUCAUAUUAGCUUUAUAAUCUAUGUAUUUGUAUCCGUUUUGUCAGUUUACUUAGUUCAAAGGCUUAGUGUCAACUACCGUGAAUUUGUAUCUGUACCGUCAGUUUAUAUGAAUUGGAGUUAAUUAUUGCUGCAUGAAUGUGUAUAUGCAUCCUCUAACGAUGAAAGCAGAAUGUUGAGAAUGCUUCUUAAUAAUUACGCAUAAGCAUGGGUAAAGAUGGGCUUCCUAAUUCAGUGGGUGAUGUUCUAAAUCUAGGAUCAUAUAUGCCUAUUCUACCUCGCAAUGCUCCAGAUAUGUUACUCAAGGUGCCUUUUUUUAUAUUAACAAUGUCUUUUUUAUUCUUUUAAGGGUGUAACAAGAUGACCGACUAUUAAUUUUUUAUAUGGAUUAUUAUAUGUAGCUUUGUAUUCA
This is a long non-coding RNA of Helianthus annuus (common sunflower), 2253 nucleotides long. RefSeq lists it as uncharacterized. The transcript is spliced from 8 exons. The record is from RefSeq and is a predicted model, not a curated record. NCBI's taxonomy places the organism in Eukaryota, Viridiplantae, Streptophyta, Magnoliopsida, Asterales, Asteraceae.